UUCUCCUACGGGGCGCAGCAGUGGGGAAUAUUGCACAAUGGGGGGAACCCUGAUGCAGCGACGCCGCGUGGGCGAUGGAGUAUUUCGGUAUGUAAAGCCCUAUCGGCAGGGAAGAAGCUGACAGUACCUGACUAAGAAGCCCCGGCUAACUACGUGCCAGCAGCCGCGGUAAUACGUAGGGGGCAAGCGUUAUCCGGAUUCACUGGGCGUAAAGGGAGCGCAGGCGGCACGGCAA
Molecule: ribosomal RNA, 235 nt
Filed under: uncultured bacterium
Lineage: Bacteria
Description: partial 16S ribosomal RNA
Rfam family: Bacterial small subunit ribosomal RNA
Source: RNAcentral